AUACGUAGGGUGCGAGCGUUAUCCGGAUUUAUUGGGUUUAAAGGGUGCGCAGGCGGGAGAUUAAGUCGGCGGUGAAAUUUUGCAGCUCAACUGUAAAAGUGCCUUCGAAACUGGUUUCCUUGAGUGUAGAUGAAGUAGGCGGAAUUUGUGGUGUAGCGGUGAAAUGCAUAGAUAUCACGAGGAACUCCGAUUGCGCAGGCAGCUUACUAAACUACUACUGACGCUCAGGCACGAAGGCGUGGGGAUCAAACAGGAUUAGAUACCCUGGUAGUCCACGCAGUAAACGAUGAUGACUAGCUGUUUGCGAUACAAUGUAAGCGGCUGAGCGAAAGCGUUAAGUAAUCCACCUGGGGAGUACGUUCGCAAGAAUGAAACUUAAAGGAAUUGACGGGG
RNAcentral lists this ribosomal RNA (393 nucleotides) under uncultured bacterium. RNAcentral describes it as "partial 16S ribosomal RNA". It matches the Rfam family "Bacterial small subunit ribosomal RNA", at positions 523 to 918 of the family's 1533-position model. The record is from RNAcentral.